GUUAGCCCAUGGUUUGAACUUACAGAAGUAUUUUUACUGGGGUUCUGUCUUCUCCUGUCCCCUGCCGUACCAAGACACCUAUCUCUGUGUCUAAAGGAUCCAUGGACGGAUGCUCUCCUCAGACUUGACCCUUUUCCAGUUUGGAGGGCCUGUUGGUGAGAUGCAGGAGAGACUGGCUUGGAUGGACAAGUCUACCCUGAGUUUUGUAAUGUGGAUUGCAACGUGACUGAGGAUGAGGAAGGCUCGAGUGUAAUGAUCCCUGGCAUGCCACCCUGAUCCCUGAUGAGCAAGCUCUCCCUUCUCAUCACUACAGGCGGUCUCAAGUUUACACAGUUACGAGUCACAGGUUUGCGAUAACCUUGACUGAAAAAAGCACGUAUGGGCUUUGAACUGAGAGUCACAAAUUCUGGUUCUUGGCUUGGCUCUCAACGCCCUUUGCUGUGAUGUUGUUGUUGAAGCUCACAUAAAGUCAGGACCUUUAUGCCUGUUCUAGAUCCACCUGCUGGGACUCAAGAAACCUCUUGUAAGAAAGAAAGGAAGAAAAAGUCACGUAUAAACGGGAUAAAAAUGAAGCAAGUUUAUGUCGUAAAAUUGAGGCUUUGACCAAACCACCUCAAAGAGAGCCAACUGGAAUAUUAACUUUGCUGUGACUUGAGGGUAACCCUGGACGACCUAAUAUUAAGCAGGAGGAAGGCUUCCUGUACCCUUCCUCAAGUACCUGCGUCUCUGUUUUCCCUAAGCGUGACAUACUUGCCAUAGGUAUUGGCACCUGCAAAUGGCACUUCACCCCACCCAGUAGGAGGAAGUCCUCAAGAGUCAGAGGGGAGGCUGCCUGAGGUCUGAGGUCAUGGAGGUCCAGCCCUUCCAAGUUCUGGUGAGAGGAAACAGGAGGAAAAGAGGUCAGUUCCCUCUCCACACAGGAGCCAUGUAUUUGCUCCCAAGUCAGGAUAGGGAAGAAGGUGCAGAGAGGACAUCACUUUUGCAAAGAGCCCGCUCUCCUCCCCACAGCCCAGAGGCCUAGAAAGUUCCCUGCAUGUCUGCAGAGUGUAUCUUCUGGGUUUAGAUUUUUUUUUUUAAUUUUUAAAAGUGAUGUAUAUUUGAAGGGGGCAGUGUGUGUGAGUGAGUGUGUGUGUGUUAUGUGCACUGGAGUAUAGGUGCCUUCAGGGGCCAGAAGAGAUAAUGGGAUCCCCUGAAGCUGGAGUUACAGGUGGUUGUCAACAGUCUAAUGUGGGUGCUGGAAACAGAACUCGGUCCCUCUGUAAGAACAGUACACACUCCUAACAGCUGGGCCACCUCUCUAGCUCCCAAACAGUGUCUUUGUCCUUGAUCCACUCUCCUGUAGAAUCUGAAUACUUCACACAAGAAGAGCAAUAGACACAGACCAAAGUGCAGACCUGUGGAUGCUUCCAGAAUCAUGUAUAUUUACGGAUACUAAGAAACCUUUUCUUUUCUUUUCUUUUCUUUUCUUUUCUUUUCUUUUCUUUUCUUUUCUUUUCUUUUCUUUUCUUUCCUUUCCUUUCCUUUCCUUUCCUUUCCUUUCCUUUCCUUUCUUUUCUUUUCUUUUCUUUUCUUUUCUUUUCUUUUCUUUUCUUUUCUUUUCUUUUCUUUUCUUUUCUUUAUUUUUCCUCUCUUUAACCCUGUCUUAAAAAGUAAUGGCUAUUACAUUUGACCCAAGAUUUUGUUAAACAAAUGUGUCUAUAAACAAAUGUAUACAUAGGAUUUCAAAUAUGUUCUUAUACUUGAUUUCUAUGAUUAUAUAGCUAAUAGUAUAUUUAAGAUAAAAAUAAUUCAGUGUAUCAUCUUUAUUUCUUAAGGAAAAAAUGAGUCCUAUUUUUUAAUCUUUUUUUCCCCUAAAAGACUUGUGAAGAAAGAGAUUAAAAAAUCUACUGAGAGAUAUAAACUAGCAAAAAAUAUUAAACUAUGGGAAGCCUAGAGAUGCAGCUGACUUGUGAUACAGUUAUACGUGUAUUUGAAAACAGGAUUCUAAAUUACUUAAUAAUUUGGUUUAGUUUCCACAAACUUUUUUUUUGUGUGUGUGUAGGAAUUGAUUUGUUGCCUAUAAAUGUCCAGGCAGCAGGGUUUCUGCUCCUCCAAUACACAGUAAUAUAAAAUGUCUAAUUACGAGGAGAAGCAAAAAGCACUCAUGAAAUUACAUAUUUAGAGAUUUUAAUGACAUUUCAUAUUUGCAAAUCCAAUUCGUUAUAGUGUUUUGUUUAAGUCUGGCCUUGAGAGUUAUCAAAUGUCGAGAUGUCUAAUUUCAUUGUAAAUCAAAGUUCCUAAGAAAUUAUUUGAAAAAAGCAAAACACUUGUGGAUUGUAGUGUCCCUACAACAGAGACUGUAACUUGUCCGACGGUCAAUUUUGUGGGGGCAGACUGAGAGGAGUAAUUGUGAGAAUGCUGCCCACCUUGGAAACGGCCUCUCCCUAGACAUUUACAUAAACUCUCAUGUGGUUUCUGUCUAGCCCCCUGGAGAGCAUAUUAUUUUCCAGUUAUAGAAGAUAAAAUAGGUUCAAAGAUAGAAGGUGAAUGGCCAAGGUCAUUGAUUCCUGAAGCACCAUGCCUUCCCAUGUGAGAGAACUGGAAACCCUGAACUCUCUGGUAGGUGGCCUGAGCAGUGUCCGAGCUAAACUCAUAGAGUCAACCUAGUACCUUGCCAAGGCUGCGGAGAGGCUAGGCUGAGAGCCCUCAGACCAAAACAACCUCUGAUAUAUGAAGUACUUGUUCCUUUCAUCAUCUCCCCGUGUGCCCUCCUCUCUCUCUCUCUCUCUCUCUCUCUCUCUCUCUCUCUCUCUCUCUCUCUCUCUCUCUCUGCAUGUGUGUGCACUCUCGUGUGUGUGUGUGUGUGUGUGUGUGUGUGUGUGUGUGUGUGUGUAUGUGUGUUUAUAUAGAUAUUUUUCAGGGGGAUUGGGAAGGUGGGUGCUAUUCCUGUGAUGAUGUGAGUUACCAGACACAAGAGUCUUGAAUUAGGAAGGACGGAGGGUUUUUAUGUCAAUGAAAACCCCUUAGGGUUUCUAUACAACUUGGGGAAUUCUAUAUAUAGAAUUGAAGGAAUGAUCCACUUAGGGAAGAUAAUCUAGUUACUUUUCUAAUUUGUUACUGAAAUUUAACACAUCUUUCAGUUAUGACACCAGUAACACACUUCUGGAGUAUUUGUGGUACCCAAGAUUGUUAUCAAUUACAGUCACAGUAUUUUUAUGUUAUAUUGUUGUUGCUAUUAUAAAAUAUGGUGUGUGUCCCCUUCUCUUUUGUUGAGACAGGAUCCCAUUAUGUAGCCCUGGCUGCUGAAACUUUCUAAACAGGCCAGGCUGGCUUUGAGCUCACAGAAAUCUGUCUGUCUCUGCCUCCUGAAUGAGGGGGAUUAGAGACAUAUUUAUCAUUCUUGCUAUUGUGGUAUCAUUAACAUGCUAGUGAAAGACAAUGUUUUAAAUAUCUUUGGUGUAUGUCAUCUCAUCAGGCUUCCUUUAAAAGUCUAUGUAUUUUAAUUCAUGCAUUGAAAAGUAUUUACUCGUUUUAGACAGUGGGUAUGACAGCCAUGUAAAUCAAAAUUUCCUAGAAUACUUUAGCCCUAAAUACAUGUAUUUCAACAAGAACACGUGAAAGCACACAAAGUCCAUGUCUUCACCAUAACUAGACAACAGACAAUCCUCAAACCUCAAAUUAUGUGACCAAGGAAAUGAGUAACUACAUAUGGCUGACAGAUGUCAGGUUUCACACGAUCAAAGAGAAGAGCUGAAAAGACUCAAGGGGAGGGGAUACUGGCCUGGACCCUGUGUAACUGAAUGAGGGAGAGAGAGAAGACCGUCAACUAAUGGUUUGGAAUAUCUGUAAAUAGAUAUAUAAAUAUAUGAACAACUACUUGUACCUACCUGAUAAAGUAUAAGGAAAACCUAAGAAUGAUGAAUAGACCAAGGAACCAGAGCCCAUUUUUUUCAAUCUUAUAGUCAUUGGAGUAGUUAAUAUAAGGAUAAAAUUUGUCUGGGGGAAUAUAAAAUGAUCAUGAAGUGUCUUAUGAUACAAAGAAAAACGCGGCUAAAGAAUGCAUAACAGCCAGUUGGAAGGGUCUUACUCACUAAGUACGACACAAUUUGAGCAUCAAAGCAAAUCAUGUCAUAAUGGAUCUGUAGGUUGUUGACUAUCAUAUGAACAUAGUCAUUUUGGUUAGCGUCAAUAAGGGUCUAUAUAAGGAAAGGGAAGCCAUGCCAACUAACAAGUGUCAAAGAAGGAUGCAGUUAGGAAAUCAGUAUUAGCAGUGACAUAGUAACAAUUGUUUCAGUCAAGAAUUAUCAGUGGAUGCUAGGAUGACAGUAUAAAAUCACAAAGAUUGUCCCACAAAGAUAAUUAUUAAUUAAAAAAGAGAAUAAUAGUGAUUUCACAGUGAAGAAAUCUGAGAGAUAACUUUAAAAAAAAUGCUAGAAAUUGGUAUUCUUAGUCACGGAGGAAACCAACAUCAUGUGCUUCCUGAUAGACACACUGGAAAGGACUGAGCAGUGAGCGAUGCUCAGCUCCAGCUAAUCAUGCGUGAAAAACUACUUCCAGUUCUACAGAAUGUGUGCCCCAUGCUCUUCAAAAACACCAGUCAUAAAGGAAAAAAAAGGGCCAAAGGUGCUAAAGAGACAAGACAACGAAAUGCAACACAUGACCACAGACAUGUAAACAGCAAACAUGUUUCCUUGUCUCAAAAAUAACAUUAUUACAUAAGCUAGUGAAAUUUGGGGGAAAAAAUCUGUAAACUUGAUAAAUUUUACUUUGAAAAUUAUAUGGUGGAAAAUGAUACUUUUUUGAUAAUUUAUAUUGAAGUAUUUAAAGAUUAUGGGGCAUGAUAUCUUUAACUUGCUUUCAAACCAUCCAAGCUGGGCAUCGGGGUACAGGUCUUUAAUGUCAACACUCAGGAGUCAGACACAGGCAGCUCUAUGUGAGUUUGAGGCCAGCCUGGUGUACAUAGCGAAUUCCAGGCCAGCCAAGGCUACAUAGUAAGAUUCUGUCUCAAAAACAAACCAAACGGUAACAAAUGAUCAAAAAUUCAAUACACAACAAAAUGCAAGUUUAGAAAAUAAUAUAUGUAUAUAUAAACAAAAACUCAUAUGUAUAUAUAAAAAAGAAUGAGAGUAAAAUGUGGUAAGAUGCUAAUGUUUAGAGCCUCUAGAUCAUACCAUUCUUUUGACUUUUUUUAAGUGUGAAAUCAUGCCCACAGAUUCAACCGACUGCAGGUUUGAGUAGUUUUGUAAACUGAAUCUCCACUGACCACACACAGACCUUUUCAUUGUUCUUCUCUCCUGAACAACAGUGUUACUAUGUAUACAGCAUUCAUACUAGGCAUUACAAAUGAUCUAGAAGCAAUUUAAUGUACGCCCAAAGGUGCCACACAGGUCAUAUGCUUGAACUGUGCCAUUUUAUACAUUAGCAAUCCGCAGGUUCGGAAGCCCGUGCGUAAGAGGGCUGUAGAGUCACCACGUGUGAGAGGGUCCUGGAGUCAGGACCCCCUAUGUGAAUGACUGUAUCUCAAAAAAAUACAAAGUAAAAAUUGGGGAAAGAAAAAUGAAACCUCCCACCCCAAGGACUUUAUUGGAACGGCUUUGGGCUCUACAGACAAAACAUAAUGACAGAGUUUUGUAGUGACCUGGGCUGCCUGUCUUCUGCCCUCUAGAAAAUCCUGUCCUUACAACCACUGGAGGAAACAAAAAACUCAAAGCUAAGCAGCUCUCUCUCUCUCUCUCUCUCUCUCUCUCUCUCCCUCCCUCCCUCCCCCCCUCUCUCAGUUCUCUCUCUCUCUGCCUCAUCUUUUCCACUUCCCAUGUAACCUCCUCUCUAAACAAACAGUUUUCCCUGGUGAUAAGGAACAGAGAGGGACUUUUUAGUCAUUCAGGAUGCACCCUCUAUACUGUCAUUGAGCACCCCUCAGGGCUGACGGUCAUCUCCAAGACUGGUGUCCCAAAGGACAUGUAACCCUGACCUUGAGUAUCAUUGAUUUGUGAGGCCCACCUUUACUAUUGUCUGUAAAUGUUAGUCUUUCUUUUAGUCUCUGCAUUCUGUAUUCUUCUAGGUCACUGGACUAGGCCAGCUGCAAACCAACAUGGAUCUUUGACCCCUAGUAGAACAACAAUCCCAGGUCAGGGCUUUCAGGGCCAUGACCUGCAUGACCUGCAUAGAGAAAGGGACAGCCAGUCAGCUCACCUGAGAAGUAAAUGAAUAACCACAGCUAGCACAACUGCCCCAACCACUCUUCCAUGAACUGUGGUCACAUCUCUGCAGUUCCCGGGUGCCAGGUGACUUAUCAGUAGGCCUUUGACCUCGGUUGCUUUAGUUGUUUAUCAGCUGUGUGUUUCAAUUUAUCUCACACCAACCUGUUUGCUAAAGAGUGCCCAUUCCUUGGCUCCAAGCACUAAAGCUGUUUUGGGGAGUACAUCCCUCAGAAAACUCAGAGUACUUUAUGCAUCCUCUCUGAGCCUUGCCCAGUGGCAGCUCAGGGCUAGGAUGUUUUCAUUAGAGAGCACCUAUCGAAACAACAUGGCUUAAUAUGUUGCACCUUCCCUGCUGAAAGGGCUGCUCUGUCUAUUUCUUGGAUGUAAGCAAAGGCUUUCCAAUUACAGCCCUUUUGAUAUUUUGAAUUCCAUAAUUAAUAAGGUGAAGUCUGGCUAGUGUAUGGCAUGCUCAGCAGGAUCCUUGACUUCUACACAUGACAUGUCAGUAACACUUCUGAUAACGAUGUCACCAGACAGUGCUAAGUGUCCCUUAGGGGACAAAAUUGCUCCUCCUUGAGAACUGCUGUCAUAGAGAUUCCUUUCUUGAGGGUCCAGAAUGUCACUGUACCCAGGACCACUUGUUUGGAAACUCAGUCAUUACUGUUGUAGUGAUGUUUCCUUGAUGGGCGGUUAUAUUCGUUAAUGACACUAACAGAGAGGUUUUGCUGCUUAAAAAACUGCUCAUAUCCUGUUUUGGCAAGCACUAACUUUUGUAAUGUAAAAAAUAUCUACUUUUCUUAUUAUGAGGAUAGAAGGUAUCCAACAAACCGAGUUAUAUAUAAUGACAUUUAUGGAUUUAGAAAUGACCACAUUGGCAAGCACAGCAUUGAGUGCUACUAAGGCCUGGAUCCUGGCUGAGCUGGGGCUAUGACAGCUCGCACUUGGUAGAAAAUCGAGCCUCUAGGAUUCUGCAAAUGCUCCCAGGAACCCCAUAGUCCUCAGAUUUCCGGUUCAUAAAGUCAGGUGCCAAUGUGAACAGCAGCUGUGGUUGACUGGAUGCCACAGCCUUUUGAACUGUGGCUAUAGGGUCAGGUAGCUGAAUGUGGGAUUAAAAAAAAAGCAACAGUGAGAGGUUAUUGAAUGAACAAUAAUUAAAAAUUAUUUCAAAACCAAAGAUAAUGGAUCCAAGGUUUGGGUAGGACUUGUCCUUCUUGUGUUGAAUGGUUUCCCCGUUAGCCAAGGUUCUGAGCACACAGCACACACACUUUGCCUAGACCACCUUGGCUCAUAGUGGUGACUCUUGUAUGUGAAGAUCUUGUAUGUGAAAUAUUUUCAGCAUAUGUAGGAUAGGAAUUUUUUUUUCUUUUUAGAAUGUAAUAAAUUACGGGAAGGAAGGGCUUAAUAUUUUCUUAGUUAUUCUUCCUCAUGGAAGUACCACACUGGGAUGUCUUUGGAUUGGAUUGUGAUGGAGCAUUUGAUUAUAAAAGUUACUUUUGGAGGGGACAGAGAGAAGGCUCAGUGGUUAGGAGCUCUUGCCACUCCUGUAGAGCACAUGGGGUUGGUUCCCAGCACCCACAUAGUGGUCCUCUCCUUCCAGAUGAUCUGGCACCUUCUGUCUUCCAAAGAAGUUUAUGUAUACAUUCAGGGAAAACACUUAUACACAUAAAAAUAAAAUAAGCAAAUCCUUAAUUAAAAAAAAAAACCUGCUGUUUGAGUUGUUGAGCUUCAUUUAAAAAAAUCAUCAAAUGAAUUUCAGGCUUAGAAUUAGGAGAAAAUUUUCAACAAUUUUGAAAUUGCCUUAAGCAAAUUUCUGCCAUUUUGCCCCAUAUAUUCAUGCCAGUGAUAUUCUCAGUAUUAACAAUCAAAAUGUCAGUCAACUCGGAAAAAUGUUGAAGAUGAUGUAGCCUGUAGUAUCAAAUAUUUAGCUAAGGUUUAGCUCUUUAUUUUUAAAUAACCAAGCACAUCUUUCAUCAGUAUGCAAAUUUGUUUUCAUUGUCAAUACUUGAUAAAAUUAUGUGUAUCCAAGAGAAUUGUUUCAAAAUAAAUUUCUUUAUGACUUGUCAGUAAA
This is a long non-coding RNA of Mus musculus (house mouse), 8247 nucleotides long. RefSeq annotates it as predicted gene, 36393. The record is from RefSeq and is a predicted model, not a curated record. NCBI's taxonomy places the organism in Eukaryota, Metazoa, Chordata, Mammalia, Rodentia, Muridae. The transcript is spliced from 5 exons.